Molecule: long non-coding RNA, 658 nt
Organism: Neogale vison (American mink)
Lineage: Eukaryota; Metazoa; Chordata; Mammalia; Carnivora; Mustelidae
Exons: 3
Source: RefSeq, a predicted model, not a curated record
GGAAGCCUUCCAGGCAGAAGGAGCCACAGAGCUGCAGGCUCUCUGGAGGGAUGGAGCAGCACAUAUUGGGAGAACUGGAGAAGGCUGUGUCAGAGGAGAGCACAGGCAGACCAGGCCUUCUCUUCCUAUCUUUGCAAAAUUGGACUAAAGGAUUUCAAGCCUCAGCUUAACUACUGAAUCAUGAUUUUGCAAGUCGCCAAUUGGUGUCACGGGGGACAAAAACCCAACUCACACAGGUUUAUACAUAAAAGCGGGACUUCAUUGGCUGACAAAACUGAAAGGUGGAGAGGCCGUUUCCAGCGACCCAUGGGGAUGGUUCUGGAACCUCAAGGGAUGGCAUCAGCUUAUCUCUCAACUGGGGCAAAAGAUCCUGCUGGCAAAGCACCCCCUGAUGGGAACCAGACCUCCCCUUCAACCAGUAAGGAUUUCCCGCUGCCAGCAAGACCCCGCCCAUGACUGACCCCAAGACAAUGACACACCCGACCUGCACGCCCACCUGCACCGCCAGCAGAGCGCACACACGCAUCCCUGUCCCUCAUUUUCCUCAUGUAAAUCUGGAAGUAUUUUCAGCACUUUGGAGACAGUCUUUGAGCAGCCGUCUGCGUUCUUCCCUGGUAUCCGCCUCCCUGAAAUAAAUUCCUUUCUUGUUUCCCCACCA